RNAcentral lists this unclassified non-coding RNA (1166 nucleotides) under Hevea brasiliensis (rubber tree). The record is from RNAcentral. Lineage: Eukaryota; Viridiplantae; Streptophyta; Magnoliopsida; Malpighiales; Euphorbiaceae.
CAUAAUCAAGCAUCCAUUCCUCAGAAUUUUUUCUAUCUUCCAUGGUCUGAUGGCGUAGAUGAAUCUUUUCUGCCUCAGGUUCAAGCUGUACUGGUAGAUGCCGUGGCUUCUGAGGAUUGAAGUUCCUCACUUUUUCCAACGCCUUAACAAAUCUCUUGAGGAUAACUAUCUUUUUCAGAUUACUCCAGCUCUUGGGUGCUUGCUGGUUAGACUUGCUUCCUAUGUUGGAUUGUGUUUUCCCUCCUUCUGGCUCAUUUAUAUUAUAUUCUUUCAGCCCCAUUUCUUCCUGAUCUUGUACGAUGCUUUCUUUACCUGAAUCGAAGGAAGUUGACAUCCUUAGUUCCCCACUUGCACUAUGAAUAUUUUCUCCCUUGUCUGAAAUGCUGUCAUUAUUGAUUGAUUGAUCAUCAGAUGAGUGGUCAGGAAUUUCUGAGAGGAUUUUAUCAAAUGCUUCCUGUACCAACUUAAUGGCAUUGCGUUGGUAAAGCUGAAUCUUAUGGCUGCCUCUAUCAUGAUCAUACACCUCCAUGCCCUGAUCUAUUCCAGAAAAAUGUGAACAAGAAUCUGAAUCGUUCAUUGCAGGCAAGGUGUUUGCAUCUUCCCCUUGUUCUUUCUUAUCCAUUUUAUCAAGAGGUGGCUGCAUUUCAUCGUCUGAAGCAAUACCUGAUACCAUAUGUUGAUAUAUCAGGUUCCACAAUCCCACAUGCUUCUGCUUUUCCAUUUGGGUUUUCUCUACUACCCAAGAGUUGCAAUCACGCUCUGAAUCUGUCACUGGGAACUGAUUGUCUUGCAGAGAAUCUUCAUUCCUUUCCUCAAUCUGAGCAGUUUGUUCACCUAGUUGCUCACAUAUGGAAGCAGAAGAAAUCAUAUCAUUAAUUGCUCUUGAUUCCACAAAUACAUCAGUCGCUAGGCUUCUGGAUUUAUCAACCGGCACUUUAGCUAAACUUGUUGAAGCCGUUGGCCCUGAAGUGUUCAGUUCUGAGUCACCUUUGUAAAUAUCAAAUUUCAAACUUGAAAUUCUGCCUUCAUUGACAUCUUGGUGAACUUUUCCAUCCACUGGAAUUCCCUCAUGGCAGUUGUAAGUAAUGUCAUCAAAGGGCAGCAUAUCGCACCAUUGUCCAGGAUCUUCAACCUUUUGUGAAAUGAUAUUAGUGUGCUCAGGAUGA